UGCCUACGGGUGGCUGCAGUAGGGAAUAUUGCUCAAUGGGCGAAAGCCUGAAGCAGCAACGCCGCGUGCGCGAUGAAGGUCUUCGGAUCGUAAAGCGCUUUUCUGCGAGAUGAGAAAGGACAGUAUCGCAGGAAUAAGUCUCGGCUAACUACGUGCCAGCAGCCGCGGUAACACGUAGGAGGCGAGCGUUAUCCGGAUUCACUGGGCGUAAAGCGCGUGCAGGCGGUUUGGUAAGUUGGGCGUGAAAGCUCCCGGCUCAACUGGGAGAGGUCGUUCAAUACUACCAGACUAGAGAGCAGAAGAGGAAGAUGGAAUUCCCGGUGUAGUGGUGAAAUGCGUAGAUAUCGGGAGGAACACCAGUGGCGAAGGCGAUCUUCUGGUCUGUUUCUGACGCUCAGACGCGACAGCUAGGGUAGUAAACGGGAUUAGAUACCCCAGUAGUCCUA
Molecule: ribosomal RNA, 446 nt
Filed under: uncultured bacterium
Lineage: Bacteria
Description: bacterial SSU rRNA
Rfam family: Bacterial small subunit ribosomal RNA
Source: RNAcentral